RNAcentral lists this ribosomal RNA (478 nucleotides) under uncultured bacterium. RNAcentral describes it as "partial 16S ribosomal RNA". It matches the Rfam family "Bacterial small subunit ribosomal RNA", at positions 28 to 507 of the family's 1533-position model. The record is from RNAcentral.
GAUUAACGCUGGCGGCGUGCAUAACACAUGCAAGUCGAACGAUGAAACUCAUUAGAUUUCUUCGGAAUGAAAAUGAAUGGAUUAGUGGCGAACGGGUAAGUAACGCGUGAGUAACCUGCCUUACACAAGGGGAUAGCCUCUGGAAACGGAGAAUAAUACCCUAUGAAACCAGACAAUCGCAUGAUAAUCUGGUCAAAAUGUUUAGUGGUGUAAGAUGGACUUGCGUCUGAUUAGCUAGUUGGUGAGAUAAAAGCUCACCAAGGCAACGAUCAGUAGCCGGCUUGAGAGAGUGUACGGCCACAUUGGGACUGAGACACGGCCCAGACUCCUACGGGAGGCAGCAGUGGGGAAUUUUGCACAAUGGGGGAAACCCUGAUGCAGCGACGCCGCGUGAUUUAGAAGGCCUUCGGGUUGUAAAAAUCUUUUGUAUAGGAAGAAAAUGACAGUACUAUACGAAUAAGGUCCGGCUAAUUACGUG